Molecule: ribosomal RNA, 253 nt
Filed under: uncultured bacterium
Lineage: Bacteria
Description: partial 16S ribosomal RNA
Rfam family: Bacterial small subunit ribosomal RNA
Source: RNAcentral
UACGGAGGGUGCGAGCGUUGAUCGGAAUCACUGGGCGUGAAGGGCACGCAGGCGGGCUUUUAAGUGAGAUGUGAAAUCCCCGGGCUGAACCUGGGAAUAGCAUUUCAGACUGGGAGGCUAGAGUACUUUAGGGAGGGGUGGAAUUCCACGUGUAGCGGUGAAAUGCGUAGAGAUGUGGAGGAAUACCGAAGGCGAAGGCAGCCCCUUGGGAAUGUACUGACGCUCAUGUGCGAAAGCGUGGGGAGCAAACAGG